Non-coding RNA from Nocardioides sp. JS614, 76 nucleotides. Lineage: Bacteria; Bacillati; Actinomycetota; Actinomycetes; Propionibacteriales; Nocardioidaceae. The record is from Rfam.
CUCGGUCCUCGGUAGUGGCUCUCAGCAUCCGGCCGGCUCUGCCGCGCAGAUCUGCGGGCCUCGAUCGAAGACCGGC